RNAcentral lists this ribosomal RNA (253 nucleotides) under uncultured bacterium. RNAcentral describes it as "partial 16S ribosomal RNA". It matches the Rfam family "Bacterial small subunit ribosomal RNA", at positions 524 to 776 of the family's 1533-position model. The record is from RNAcentral.
GACGAACCGAGCGAACGUUAUUCGGAAUCACUGGGCUUAAAGGGCGCGUAGGCGGGCGAUCAAGUCAGGGGUGAAAGCCCCCAGCUCAACUGGGGAAGUGCCUUUGAUACUGGUCGUCUCGAGGGGGAUAGGGGCGUGCGGAACUUCCGGUGGAGCGGUGAAAUGCGUAGAUAUCGGGAGGAACACCUGUGGCGAAAGCGGCGCACUGGACCAUAACUGACGCUGAGGCGCGAAAGCUAGGGGAGCAAACAGG